AUCCAGUUGACGAGUUCAAAAAGGACGAAAUGAGCAUCGUGGAU
This 44-nucleotide non-coding RNA is filed under the name Trichobilharzia regenti. The record is from RNAcentral. Lineage: Eukaryota; Metazoa; Platyhelminthes; Trematoda; Strigeidida; Schistosomatidae.